GGCUCCUGGUACAUCCAGUCACUGUGCAGGCAUCUCAGGAGAUGCUGUCCAAGAGGUGAAGAUAUUCUUUCCAUCCUCACAAGUGUCAAUGAAGAAGUAAGCACGAACACUGGCUCCAUCAAAGGGAAUGAAGCCAAGCAAAUACCAGAGCCCAGGUACACUCUCAGGAAGAAGCUUGUAUUCUACGUGAAAUGUGAACAAGGUAUUCUGACUGUACCUGGCAGUAUUCCUGAUGGAACUGUGUGGAAUAUACUGUAGGCCACUAUAAUACAGUAUGCCUAAUAUUCCUCCUUUGAUUUUGGAUUGGUAUCUGACCACUAGCUAAUGGAAUUGUCCUACUGUACAUGCAAUAUUUUUCUACCAUUUGUAAUUUACAUUAUGCCACUACUGUAUUGUCCAACAAAAAAUCCAGACAUUUUAUUGUGAUACUUCAGUGACUGGUGAACCAGAAAUGCUUAUUUACAUCUUGCCUACACUGAAUUUUAUAAAGCAACAUUUGGGUGCAAAAGAGAGAUUCUAAUUCUUUUCUUAAACUGGAUGUGUUAAAGGGGCAGAUUUUGAAGAACGAUGUCCAGAUUUUAAAACCAGCUGUGUGUGACGCAUACAGGGGAUAGUAUUUUAAAACAAAAACAGAUGGGGUGGAUGGCUCUAACUUCAUAAAACACUUGUAUUAUGUAUUUGAAUUUAGUCAAAUCCAAAUGCUGAGAUGUUUUCAUUUUUGCAUUUUGCAUCCAAAUGUUUUGCAUUGAAGUGUAACCAUGAGACAAAUUUAUGAGGCAAAAUUCUUCAAACAAAAACUUUAGAAACUUUGAGGAAAUGUUAAUGUCAAAUAAAGAGUAGAGGUUUCCAGACAUCUUGUGUAUAUUAAUGUUCUGGUUUGUAUCAAUUGGAACAACCAGUUAAUUAAAUGGUAAAAAUAAAAUUGCCUACUGUGAGUGCUAAACAUUUGUCUUGUGAAUGGAAUACUUCAUUACAAUAAUUUAAGACACGAGUGGAAAAAGCUUAUAUAUGCAAAAUUUUUAGGACAAUUAUUAAAAUACUCUGAUACUGGAAUACACAUUGUAUGUGGGGAAAACAAUUUGUAUAUAAAUGGCAUAAUGUAUACAUUUAAGCUGCUGUUUGCAGUAAUCUUUGAUGAACCACCUGAUAUUAACAUAUAAACAACAUCAUCAAGAUGUUUCCUUUGUUGUGUAGCACCAUGAUGAUGUUGUUUUUUGUUUCAAUUGGCUUAGUACCUCAGGUUUUUUAUAUGAAAUCUAAUUGCUGUAUACAUUUUCAUCCUCACACAUUACCUCAAAGUAGCUGUAUGUAUUACUUGUCAAAAUUAUACAACUGUUCUUCCACUGAAAUGUUAGUUACAUCCAAAAUAAACAAUGCUAAUUUUCUGUG
This is a non-coding RNA of Lepisosteus oculatus (spotted gar), 1389 nucleotides long. Lineage: Eukaryota; Metazoa; Chordata; Actinopteri; Semionotiformes; Lepisosteidae. The record is from RefSeq and is a predicted model, not a curated record.